RNAcentral lists this ribosomal RNA (435 nucleotides) under uncultured Flavobacterium sp. Its description in RNAcentral is "bacterial SSU rRNA". It matches the Rfam family "Bacterial small subunit ribosomal RNA", at positions 358 to 790 of the family's 1533-position model. Lineage: Bacteria; Pseudomonadati; Bacteroidota; Flavobacteriia; Flavobacteriales; Flavobacteriaceae. The record is from RNAcentral.
GGAAUAUUGGUCAAUGGGCGCAAGCCUGAACCAGCCAUGCCGCGUGCAGGAUGACGGUCCUAUGGAUUGUAAACUGCUUUUGUACGAGAAGAAACAACUCUACGUGUAGAGUCUUGACGGUAUCGUAAGAAUAAGGAUCGGCUAACUCCGUGCCAGCAGCCGCGGUAAUACGGAGGAUCCAAGCGUUAUCCGGAAUCAUUGGGUUUAAAGGGUCCGUAGGCGGUUUAGUAAGUCAGUGGUGAAAGCCCAUCGCUCAACGGUGGAACGGCCAUUGAUACUGCUAAACUUGAAUUAUUAGGAAGUAACUAGAAUAUGUAGUGUAGCGGUGAAAUGCUUAGAGAUUACAUGGAAUACCAAUUGCGAAGGCAGGUUACUACUAAUGGAUUGACGCUGAUGGACGAAAGCGUGGGUAGCGAACAGGAUUAGAUACCCUGG